UUAGGUGGCCAUGGCGACGGGGCCCACCCCUUACCAUUCCGAACAGGGAAGUUAAGACCGUUUGCGCCGAUGGUACUGCUAUAUCAAGUGGGAGAGUAGGUAGCCGCCUUUUUCGAAAGCCCUUUACAAUAAUGUAAAGGGCUUUUUUUAUACCAUAGAU
Molecule: ribosomal RNA, 160 nt
Filed under: Maribacter spongiicola
Lineage: Bacteria; Pseudomonadati; Bacteroidota; Flavobacteriia; Flavobacteriales; Flavobacteriaceae
Source: RNAcentral